CUGGCUCAGAACGAACGCUGACGGCGCGUCUUAAGCAUGCAAGUCGAACGAGAAAGUAUCCUUCGGGGUACAAGUAAAGUGGCGAACGGGUGAGUAACACGUGGGUAAUCUGCCCUGAAGUUGGGGACAACUCGCUGAAAAGCGAGCUAAUACCGAAUGAGAUAGUCUUUACAUAUGUGAGGAUUAUGAAAGGUUUCGGCCGCUUCAGGAUGAGCCUGCGGUCUAUUAGCUAGUUGGUGAGGUAAAUGCUCACCAAUGCUACGAUAGAUAGCCGGCCUGAGAGGGUGUACGGUCACAUUGGAACUGAGACACGGUCCAGACUCCUACGGGAGGCAGCAGCUAAGAAUAUUCCGCAAUGGGCGAAAGCCUGACGGAGCGACGCCGUGUGGUUGAUGAAGGCCUUACAGGUUGUAAAAACCUUUUAUUCGAGAAGAUGGGCAAGCCUCGAGCUUGCUUGACGGUAUCGAACGAAUAAGCCCCGGCAAAUUACGUGCCAGCAGCCGCGGUAAUACGUAAGGGGCUAGCGUUGUUCGGAAUUAUUGGGCGUAAAGGGCGUGCAGGCGGACUGAUAAGUCGGGUGUGAAAUCUUAUGGCUUAACCAUGAGCUAUUGCUCGAAACUGUUAGUCUAGAGUUUGGAAUAGGGAGACGGAAUUCCUAGUGUAGGAGUGAAAUCUAUAGAUAUUAGGAAGAACACCGGUGGCGAAGGCGGUCUCCUGGUCUAAAACUGACGCUAAAGCGCGAAAGCUAGGGUAGCAAACGGGAUUAGAUACCCCGGUAGUCCUAGCCGUAAACGUUGCAUACUAGGUGUAUGAGGUGUCGAUCCCUCAUGUGCC
RNAcentral lists this ribosomal RNA (834 nucleotides) under uncultured organism. RNAcentral describes it as "bacterial SSU rRNA". It matches the Rfam family "Bacterial small subunit ribosomal RNA", at positions 19 to 847 of the family's 1533-position model. The record is from RNAcentral.